This 611-nucleotide ribosomal RNA is filed under the name Saccharomyces cerevisiae (brewer's yeast). Its description in RNAcentral is "eukaryotic LSU rRNA". It matches the Rfam family "Eukaryotic large subunit ribosomal RNA", at positions 69 to 664 of the family's 3401-position model. Lineage: Eukaryota; Fungi; Ascomycota; Saccharomycetes; Saccharomycetales; Saccharomycetaceae. The record is from RNAcentral.
CCGGGAUUGCCUUAGUAACGGCGAGUGAAGCGGCAAAAGCUCAAAUUUGAAAUCUGGUACCUUCGGUGCCCGAGUUGUAAUUUGGAGAGGGCAACUUUGGGGCCGUUCCUUGUCUAUGUUCCUUGGAACAGGACGUCAUAGAGGGUGAGAAUCCCGUGUGGCGAGGAGUGCGGUUCUUUGUAAAGUGCCUUCGAAGAGUCGAGUUGUUUGGGAAUGCAGCUCUAAGUGGGUGGUAAAUUCCAUCUAAAGCUAAAUAUUGGCGAGAGACCGAUAGCGAACAAGUACAGUGAUGGAAAGAUGAAAAGAACUUUGAAAAGAGAGUGAAAAAGUACGUGAAAUUGUUGAAAGGGAAGGGCAUUUGAUCAGACAUGGUGUUUUGUGCCCUCUGCUCCUUGUGGGUAGGGGAAUCUCGCAUUUCACUGGGCCAGCAUCAGUUUUGGUGGCAGGAUAAAUCCAUAGGAAUGUAGCUUGCCUCGGUAAGUAUUAUAGCCUGUGGGAAUACUGCCAGCUGGGACUGAGGACUGCGACGUAAGUCAAGGAUGCUGGCAUAAUGGUUAUAUGCCGCCCGUCUUGAAACACGGACCUCCUGUGUGAAUGGAUCCGCUAAACUA